CAACAGCGAUAAGGGAACCUCGAGUGCCAGGUUACAAAUCUGGCUGUCGAGAUGCCUAAAAAGCAUUUCAUAGCAAGGGCCGGGCAAGACCGGUGCCAGCCGCCGCGGUAACACCGGCGGCUCGAGUGGUAACCGUUAUUAUUGGGUCUAAAGGGUCUGUAGCCGGCCGGAUAAGUCUCUUGAGAAAUCUGGCAGCUUAACUGUCAGGCUUUCAGGAGAUACUGUCUGGCUCGAGGCCGGGAGAGGUGAGAGGUACUUCAGGGGUAGGGGUGAAAUCUUGUAAUCCUUGAAGGACCACCAGUGGCGAAGGCGUCUCACCAGAACGGACCUGACGGCAAGGGACGAAAGCUAGGGGCACGAACCGGAUUAGAUACCCGGGUAGUCCUAGCCGUAAACGAUACUCGCUAGGUGUCGGCCACGGUGCGACCGUUGUCGGUGCCGUAGGGAAGCCG
This 452-nucleotide ribosomal RNA is filed under the name uncultured archaeon. RNAcentral describes it as "bacterial SSU rRNA". It matches the Rfam family "Archaeal small subunit ribosomal RNA", at positions 362 to 814 of the family's 1478-position model. The record is from RNAcentral.